GGAGUCUGGGCCGUGUCUCAGUCCCAAUGUGGCCGUUCACCCUCUCAGGCCGGCUACGCAUCAUCGCCUUGGUAGGCCGUUACCCCACCAACAAGCUAAUGCGCCAUAAGCCCAUCCACCAGUGUUUUAAACCUUUAAUAAUCAGAUCAUGCGGUCCGAUUACCUAUCCGGUAUUAAUCCCCGUUUCCAGGGGCUAUCCCAGUCUUCGUGGGUAGGUUGCUUAUGUAUUACUCACCCGUUCGCCUCUAAUCCUUCCUAGCAAGCUAGGCUAUCAUCGAUCGACUUGCAUGUAUUAGGCACGCCGCCAGCGUUCAUC
This 316-nucleotide ribosomal RNA is filed under the name uncultured Bulleidia sp. RNAcentral describes it as "partial 16S ribosomal RNA". Lineage: Bacteria; Bacillati; Bacillota; Erysipelotrichia; Erysipelotrichales; Erysipelotrichaceae. The record is from RNAcentral.